GUGAAAGAUAUUUAAACGGGUCAAUCCUAUGACUCGAGCCAGGUGAAUAUCAGGAGUACCGGAUGAAGAUCAAGCUCAACGUAGAACCGAACACGAUGCAGUCACAAGCUUCCGCGUAUAGUUUAGUUGUUAUUUCAAAACAACAAAUUUUUACCGGUCAUGAUGUAACGUUAUAAAAUUUAGAAAAGUUUUAAUUAACUUGUAUUUUCAAUUGAUAU
This 218-nucleotide long non-coding RNA is filed under the name Helianthus annuus (common sunflower). RNAcentral describes it as "sRNA HanXRQr2_Chr17g0819951". Lineage: Eukaryota; Viridiplantae; Streptophyta; Magnoliopsida; Asterales; Asteraceae. The record is from RNAcentral.